GGGCCGGUAAUUCAACCCGGUUUCAUAUGGCCUGAAGCUAUAUGACGGGAGAGAAUACUCCCUUGGCUAGGGAGAUAUCCGGAUUCAAAUUCCGGCCGGUCCA
This 103-nucleotide transfer RNA is filed under the name Candidatus Woesearchaeota archaeon. Its description in RNAcentral is "tRNA-Ala". Lineage: Archaea; Nanobdellati; Candidatus Woesearchaeota. The record is from RNAcentral. RNAcentral also lists the same sequence under 1 other name.